AUUGAAUGCUGGCGGCACGCCUAACACAUGCAAGUCGAACGCGAACGCACCUUCGGGUGUUAUUAUAGUGGCGGACGGGUGAGUAACACGUGGGAACAUGCCUUUUAGCUCGGAAUAACGUUUGGAAACGAAUGCUAAUACCGUAUACGCCCUACGGGGGAAAGAUUUAUCGCUAAAAGAUUGGCCCGCGCUAGAUUAGUUAGUUGGUGAGGUAACGGCUCACCAAGGCUACGAUCUAUAUCUGGUUUGAGAGGAUGAUCAGACACACUGGGACUGAGACACGGCCCAG
Molecule: ribosomal RNA, 289 nt
Filed under: uncultured bacterium
Lineage: Bacteria
Description: partial 16S ribosomal RNA
Rfam family: Bacterial small subunit ribosomal RNA
Source: RNAcentral